UAUUGGACAAUGGGGGGAAACCUGUCCCAGCGACGCCGCGUGAGUGAAGAAGUAUUUCGGUAUGUAAAGCUCUAACAGCAGGGAAGAAAGAAAUGACGGUACCUGACUAAGAAGCCCCGGCUAACUACGUGCCAGCAGCCGCGGUAAUACGUAGGGGGCAAGCGUUAUCCGGAUUUACUGGGGGUAAAGGGAGCGUAGACGGCGAUGCAAGUCUGAAGUGAAAGGCGGGGGCCCAACCCCCGGACUGCUUUGGAAACUGUAUGGCUGGAGUGCAGGAGAGGUAAGUGGAAUUCCUAGGGUAGCGGUGAAAUGCGUAGAUAUUAGGAGGAACACAAGUGGCGAAGGCGGCUUACUGGACUGUAACUGACGUUGAGGCUCGAAAGCGUGGGGAGCAA
RNAcentral lists this ribosomal RNA (395 nucleotides) under uncultured bacterium. RNAcentral's name for it is "bacterial SSU rRNA". It matches the Rfam family "Bacterial small subunit ribosomal RNA", at positions 362 to 771 of the family's 1533-position model. The record is from RNAcentral.